Molecule: non-coding RNA, 23 nt
Filed under: Arabidopsis thaliana (thale cress)
Lineage: Eukaryota; Viridiplantae; Streptophyta; Magnoliopsida; Brassicales; Brassicaceae
Source: RNAcentral
ACUGUGGGAAGUCAAACUGUGAC